Chelonoidis abingdonii (Abingdon island giant tortoise) is the source of this 145-nucleotide non-coding RNA. NCBI's taxonomy places the organism in Eukaryota, Metazoa, Chordata, Testudines, Testudinidae. The record is from RefSeq and is a predicted model, not a curated record.
AUUCCCAGAAAUGUAGGGCCCUACCAAAUUCAUGGUCCAUUUUAGUCAAUUUCAUGAUCAUAUGAUUUUGAAAAUGGUAAAUUUCACGAUUUUAGCUAUUUAAAUCUGAAAUUUCAGAGUUGUAAUUCUAGGGGUCCUAACCCAA